UAACCAAUGUCUCCAAUUGUGCCCUGUUUAAAAAAAAACAGAUUCUUAUCCAUCAUAUGCAAAUAUAACUAUACUGCCAUAAAAUAAGAAUACUCAUGAAUAGUUUCCAAAUUUUAGAGAACUCAGGUAGAGAGAAAGGUAAAUUUGGGUCACAAAAGUAUACUUUAGAAUCAGAGUUGCUGCCUUCCAAACAAGGAUGUUUGUUCACUGUUGGGAGAAAAGCUGAGUGUUUGGAGAGAAGCUGAGGCGGGCUUGGAACAUGUCCAGGGUCCAGAGAUGAGGCCUCCCACGGAGGCCAAGGCAGGCA
Molecule: long non-coding RNA, 307 nt
Filed under: Homo sapiens (human)
Lineage: Eukaryota; Metazoa; Chordata; Mammalia; Primates; Hominidae
Description: HSALNT0221163
Source: RNAcentral